Molecule: non-coding RNA, 3862 nt
Organism: Meleagris gallopavo (turkey)
Lineage: Eukaryota; Metazoa; Chordata; Aves; Galliformes; Phasianidae
Source: RefSeq, a predicted model, not a curated record
CGGGGCAGGGGCUUCUCAAGCACCCUGCGCUAGGUCUUAGGUUUUUCUUUUGUCUCGUCCUUAUUUUUGUGAAGGCUGAUGGUGCAGAUAGCACCUUUGGAGGUUUGAUUGGUUGUUGGUACCAUGGGUUUGAUUCAGCCUACCUCAAUUAAGUUUUCAGGAGGACAGAGUCUUCAGCCUUACAGGGACCUUGGUUUUUGGAGUCUUAUCUGUGAAGCUGCACAGUGAACAUGAGUAAUACAAGAUUUUGUCUGAAAGUAAUGCCUACAGUUUUUUUAUGGUGGCCUGACACAUCAGAGAUGUGUGCUGUCAUUGUGGACGUGGCAGCUGAACCUUCCAAAAAAUAUUGCGUGUAAUUGAUGGCAACAGAGGUGCAAUGUGACAAAAUAGCAUCUGGUAUGGAAUACGUGUGAAGUAGGAAAGGUGUGGAAGAGCAUUCCUCCAUGCGAGUAACACCUGUUAACCUUUAUAGGCACUUGCUGAGUGUUUAUGGAGUCUGAACUGUGAUGUAUUGGGUGGUGCAAUUCAUUAGUGGUGUCUGCGACAGCAUUUUGCCUUGCACUGGCACAGAUUGUUAUGAGCUUGGUUGGUGAAAAUGUUUAGCUAAUACUGGUGGCUGCGUUGAGAAAUGGUGUUUUAUAACUGAGAAUUUCUUGUCAAAUAUUGUUAUUGUGCUCUUUGUUGUUUUAAUGGAAAUAAAUAUGAAGUGUUACUUUUGGAGCAACCUUUGACCUACGUCAAAAUAACUUAUUCUUCAGUAUUUUUUAGGCAAAAAAAAUGAGUAAUACUUUCCUUGAUGAGUUUUGUUUUUACUUAGUAAUAUAAAUAGGCUUUCUUUAAUAAAUUAGUUGUCUCCACCUAUUCAGAUACAUAUCAAGGGAAUGGAGAUGGGGAGUGGUCUACAUGGAUUUGUAAAGCAGAAACUGCCUGAUGCACCUGGUAGCUUUUAUGGUGGAAUGGAUGCCUUAGGAGACAAGGAUGAGGUGGUUACUGCGGGUUUACAUUGACUUGUACAGGACUUUAAACACUAUCUCCCGUAAGCAGACAGUGAAUUGCCUUGAAAUCUGGCUGAACUGCUGGUUUGUGGUUAGCAGCUCAAAUUCCAGCUGGAGGCUGGUCUGUAGUGGUACACCUGAGGGGUUGUUACUGUGGCCCAUACAACUUUAUAUCUGCUUUAAUGAUCUGAAUGAUGGGAUAUAGUGCACCCUCACCAAGCCCUCAGAUGCUGUGAGCUCAGUGGACUGACUAAUAGACCACAUGGUUGUGCUGCUUUUCAGAGGGACUUUGGCAGUCUGAAGAACUGAGCAAGGAAGAAUUUAUUUAAGUUUAACAACAGCAAGUCCUGUGUCUUGGGAAGAACAACUCCAUGCAUGUGAACACAGUGGUAGAUGAUGCUAUGCAACAGUAGAGCUUGCAGUGUUUGUGGCAAAGGCAGCCAACAGCAUCCUUGGCUGCAGUAGAAGGCUGUGGCCAGAGGAUCACAGGAGCUUAUUUUUCCCUUUAGCUCUGCUCUAGCAAGACUGCAUCUGGAAGUCUGUUUCCUAGACUUGUUCCAGAAAGAUUAAUAAGGUAUUGAAGCACCUGUCAUGCAAGGAGAGACUAGAAGACCUGGGACUAUUUAUAACAGAUGAGACACGAGGAGAUCGGGAUGAGAAUUUAUCAAUACAUAAACACAGGCAAGAAGACUCCAGUAAAGACAAGGCACAUAGUCAUGAAUAAAGGAAGACUUCAACAGUAACAGCAAAAUUAAAGUUAUGUGCCCUCAUGGUGGCUCCUUUUAGGCUGGUGUCCUCACUAAGAAAUCAGACUUCUCUUGGCUGUAAAGCUCCUGGGGACUUGCACAAAUACUUGGCUGUUUUGGUCAAACCAGUCAGUUGAAGAGAAGAACUAGGGAAAAGGAGCACCUUGAAUCUAUUCUCAUUUAAAAAGAAGAAAAAAGUUAACAAAAACUAAGCCAACAACAAGCCAACAAUUGACCCCAAAAGAUUGCCAUUCUAUUCUAGAGGAGCAGAGGUGCCCCAGCAAUAUCAGCAGUACAAGAAGAGUGCUUGUGUAUAACCUAUACAUACCUAAAUUGUUUGCUUCUAUGGUAAUUGUCCUGAAAGUAAUGCAAAAAUUAUUUUAAAAGGGAGCCUUAAACUUUUUUGCAGUUAAAUUCUUCGUAGUUUGAAAAAUACCUUGUUUUUAUUACUUGCUUUUAUUAUCUUUAGAUAGAUAUUUAUUGUUUUUUUGCUUAUAAUAAGCUGUUGAAGCUUGAUGCUAUACUCUUACCUCUACUUGAAAUUCAUCCUUCCAGUUUUCAGCAUUUUAUUGUUAUUGUAACAUAGUUUGUAAGAAGAGGCCCAAGAAUCCUUUUUAGGAGCCACUGUCCUUACCCUGUAGUGAGUGAUGUUCAUGGCAAAGAUCUGUAAACAAUAUUUGGCAGAAGCCAAAAAUAGGUCAAAUGUUGAUGAUUUCCAUUUGAACAGUUGGGAUUUCAUUUUUAGGUAACUCUUAGGUUUCCUAACUGUGAUUAACAAAGAUAAAGACAGAUAAGCAUCUUUUUUUGUUCUUGUAAUUCUAUAUUGAUGACAAAUCACCUUGAAAUCUUUUAGUAUCCCCUGUUUAACUAGCUACCUUGUUUUUAGUCACCUCAAGUACAUGUGAGAAUCAUUAAUACGGAGGCUGUCAUCAAAUAUACAAAUGUUCAUAAAUGCUGCUUUCUGGUGUUUGUGUUUGUAGUGUGGUGUUCAUGCAAGUUUUUUCCUUGUUUAGCAGUUAAGGCCGUACUUGUGGAUCUGUUUUCGGCCAUUACUGACAAUUCCUCUGUUCUAACUUCACAAAAGGUAUCUUUUAUCCAUGAAGGAUAAACAAAACUCUUUCAAAGCAGAAACAUGACAUUUCUGAUAACUUAGGCCCAAAUGUGAGUUUAAUGCAUGAAGAUCAUGGCUGUAGGAAAAGGAGAGGAGUAUGGUUUGUUGUUGUUUUUCCCAGAAUAUCAUCAUUUUUAUUAUUUAUUGUUGCUGAAGUUAGAAAAAUAAGUAAUCUUUUUUUUUUUCAACAAAGAACAAAAAUAUUAUUCUUGCUUGUAGAGGUGUGCCAAAAUGGUUUGUUAGUUAUGGAUGAACAUUAGCAUUUGCUUAAAAACUAAGAAUUCCUCAGCGUUUAUGAUGGUAACAGUGCCAGCAAAAAUACAGACAUGGGAACACAUGCUGUUUGGCUUGGAGGCAAGAAGGAGCUAAUGUUCUGUAAGCAUCUAGAGGGAGAAUAUUAUUAUUUUUCAACCUAGAAAACAUUGGUUAAAGGCAAAUGAGGUGCUAGAUAACAAUGGAUGGUCCUUUGUAAGGCAGCACUGUCCUUGCCACACAAAAAGUAUAGAAAGAUCUCUAGGUAACUUACUCAAAUAAAUAUCAGGUGUUCUUUUCCUUCAAGCACAUAUUGACUUGCAAACCUUUCUCUAAUCUUUCUUAAUCUUUGUCAAUAUUUCCUCUUCAUGCAAUAAAUACCGAGAAGUCAACACAACCGAACUUCAUGUUGAUUUUUGCACCUGUGUUAUUUCUUUGCCAAUUUCACUGAAAUUCGUGUGUAGCUUGAGAACGAUAAAUUAGACUGGCAACGUAAAUCCUAUUAUACAGUUUGUAGUAAUAACUUUAAUGAACAGUUCAGACCUCUGGCUGUAAGCAAAACUCCCCCAGACCUCUUCUAAAGUGUUGAGGAAUAUUAGGUAUUUUUGACCUUUGAUAUGUGUGUUUCUUCCUAGGCUGAAUGUAGCCUUGCUAUGUUACUAACCAAUUGAAGUCUCUAUUUAGUUAUAAUGUAUUAUAUUGCUUCUUGUAAGAUUCUUUAGAUAACUGGUGCACCAGACAAUCAUGAAGCAUCCUGU